GAUGAAGAACGUAGCAAAAUGCGAUAAGUAAUGUGAAUUGCAGAAUUCAGUGAAUCAUCGAAUCUUUGAACGCACAUUGCGCCCGCUGGUAUUCCGGCGGGCAUGCCUGUUCGAGCGUCAUUUCAACCCUCAAGCCCCCGGGUUUGGUGUUGGGGAUCGGCUCUGCCUUCUGGCGGUGCCGCCCCCGAAAUACAUUGGCGGUCUCGCUGCAGCCUCCAUUGCGUAGUAGCUAACACCUCGCAACUGGAACGCGGCGCGGCCAUGCCGUAAAACCCCAACUUCUGAAUGUUGACCUCGGAUCAGGUAGGAAUACCCGCUGAACUUAAGCAUAUCAAUAACGGAGGA
Molecule: unclassified non-coding RNA, 345 nt
Filed under: soil metagenome
Description: partial contains 5.8S ribosomal RNA, internal transcribed spacer 2, and large subunit ribosomal RNA
Rfam family: 5.8S ribosomal RNA (bases 1-120)
Source: RNAcentral